This 259-nucleotide ribosomal RNA is filed under the name uncultured bacterium. RNAcentral's name for it is "partial 16S ribosomal RNA". It matches the Rfam family "Bacterial small subunit ribosomal RNA", at positions 793 to 1055 of the family's 1533-position model. The record is from RNAcentral.
GUCCACGCCGUAAACGAUGAUUACUAGGUGUGGGGAGUUGAACCUUUCCGUGCCGGAGUUAACACAAUAAGUAAUCCACCUGGGGAGUACGACCGCAAGGUUGAAACUCAAAGGAAUUGACGGGGGCCCGCACAAGCAGUGGAGUAUGUGGUUUAAUUCGAAGCAACGCGAAGAACCUUACCAGGUCUUGACAUCGAGUGACGUUCCUAGAGAUAGGAAUUCCCUCGGGGCACAAAGACAGGUGGUGCAUGGUUGUCGU